This 496-nucleotide ribosomal RNA is filed under the name uncultured bacterium. Its description in RNAcentral is "partial 16S ribosomal RNA". It matches the Rfam family "Bacterial small subunit ribosomal RNA", at positions 28 to 507 of the family's 1533-position model. The record is from RNAcentral.
GAUGAACGCUGGCGGCGUGCCUAAUACAUGCAAGUCGAGCGAACGGACGAGAAGCUUGCUUUUCUGAUGUUAGCGGCGGACGGGUGAGUAACACGUGGAUAACCUACCUAUAAGACUGGGAUAACUUCGGGAAACCGGAGCUAAUACCGGAUAAUAUUUUGAACCGCAUGGUUCAAAAGUGAAAGACGGUCUUGCUGUCACUUAUAGAUGGAUCCGCGCUGCAUUAGCUAGUUGGUAAGGUAACGGCUUACCAAGGCAACGAUGCAUAGCCGACCUGAGAGGGGGAUCGGCCACACUGGAGCUGAGACACGGUCCAGACUCCUACGGAAGGCAGCAGUAGGAAUCUUCCGCAAUGGGCGAAAGCCUGACGGAGCAACGCCGCGUGAGUGAUGAAGGUCUUCGGAUCGUAAAACUCUGUUAUUAGGGAAGAACAUAUGUGUAAGUAACUGUGCACAUCUUGACGGUACCUAAUCAGGAAGCCACGGCUAACUACGUG